AAACCUACAUACAGCCGCUUACUGUUUAUUCAUAAAAAAAAUUCAGAAAUUGGGAAAGGGAUGAAGAUUUUUGGGAAGCUUUUGGCGUGAGCGGUGGGGAAAGAUAGAUCUAUCAUAUUAGUAUGAUAUGAUAAAUCUUGCCUACACCGCCCAUGCCCAUGGCUUCCAAUGAUUUCUUCCUUUCCAUACAAUUUCUUCAUGUUAUUUUUUUUCUUUUUCAAAAAGAGCUGUGAUGAGAUUUAGAGAUUGUCAUGCACCACUCUUACAAAUUUUAAAUUUGAGUGAUGAUAAAUUUCCCGCAAAAAAAAAAAA
Molecule: microRNA precursor, 312 nt
Filed under: Solanum lycopersicum (tomato)
Lineage: Eukaryota; Viridiplantae; Streptophyta; Magnoliopsida; Solanales; Solanaceae
Description: pre-miR482b-x1
Source: RNAcentral